Molecule: ribosomal RNA, 400 nt
Filed under: uncultured bacterium
Lineage: Bacteria
Description: bacterial SSU rRNA
Rfam family: Bacterial small subunit ribosomal RNA
Source: RNAcentral
AACGGGAAAAACCUUACCAGUCCUUGCCAUCCUCCGGACGUAUCAGUAACGGGAUAUUUCCUUCGGGACAGCAGAAACAGGGGGGGCAGGGUUUUGGUCAGCUCGGGUCGGGAAAUUUUGGGUUAAGUUCCGCAACGAGGCCAACCCCUUUCCUCAGUAGCCAGCAGUUAGGAUGGGCACUCUGAGGAGACUGCCGGGGACAACCCGGAGGAAGGCGGGGACGACGUCAAAUCAUCAUGCCCCUUAUGGGCAGGGCUACACACGUGCUACAAUGGCGUACACAAAGGGAAGCGAACCCGCGAAGGGGAGCAAAUCCCAGAAAAGACGUCCCAGUUCGGAUUGUAGUCUGCAACUCGAUUACAUGAAGCUGGAAUCGCUAGUAAUCGCGGAUCAGAUUUCC